Non-coding RNA from Vicia faba (fava bean), 252 nucleotides. The record is from the annotation of a GenBank genome assembly. Lineage: Eukaryota; Viridiplantae; Streptophyta; Magnoliopsida; Fabales; Fabaceae.
AUGCCGUGCUUUACCUCAGACUCGUCUCCGUCUUCGACAAACUCAAACGCAAUACCGUCAUACCAAGCUUCGUCGGCCGCGAAUCCAUCGUCUCAACACUCGACCUCUGUCUCCUUCGCGAUGCUUCUCAACCUCUUAGUCUCAAUAUGUCAUCAUUCGCCAUCUUCAUCAACUCUCAGAUUUUGGGCGAUUUCAUGCCUCACGAUCGUCUGGCGCGUCUUUACUUAUGAUAGUGGUUGUAACAAGAACUAA